UACGGCUACAUCGAGUUGAUACACAGGUUCCUGUACGAUCACCGAAGUUAAGCUACGUGGAGCCUGGUCAGUAACUUGAUGAUAGACCGCUUGGAAAUAUCGGGUGUUGUAAU
Molecule: non-coding RNA, 113 nt
Organism: Acanthosepion pharaonis
Lineage: Eukaryota; Metazoa; Mollusca; Cephalopoda; Sepiida; Sepiidae
Source: the annotation of a GenBank genome assembly